This 158-nucleotide unclassified non-coding RNA is filed under the name Colletotrichum acutatum. RNAcentral describes it as "ITS1". Lineage: Eukaryota; Fungi; Ascomycota; Sordariomycetes; Glomerellales; Glomerellaceae. The record is from RNAcentral.
CUGAGUUACCGCUCUAUAACCCUUUGUGAACAUACCUAACCGUUGCUUCGGCGGGCAGGGGAAGCCUCUCGCGGGCCUCCCCUCCCGGCGCCGGCCCCACCACGGGGACGGGGCGCCCGCCGGAGGAAACCAAACUCUAUUUACACGACGUCUCUUCU